UUCGAUGGAUAGGGGUUCUGAGAGGAAGGUCCCCCACAUUGGAACUGAGACACGGUCCAAACUCCUACGGGAGGCAGCAGUGAGGAAUAUUGGUCAAUGGGCGGUAGCCUGAACCAGCCAAGUAGCGUGAAGGAUGAAGGCUCUAUGGGUCGUAAACUUCUUUUAUAUAAGAAUAAAGUGCAGUAUGUAUACUGUUUUGUAUGUAUU
This 207-nucleotide ribosomal RNA is filed under the name Bacteroides fragilis. Its description in RNAcentral is "partial 16S ribosomal RNA". It matches the Rfam family "Bacterial small subunit ribosomal RNA", at positions 275 to 479 of the family's 1533-position model. Lineage: Bacteria; Pseudomonadati; Bacteroidota; Bacteroidia; Bacteroidales; Bacteroidaceae. The record is from RNAcentral.